This 1821-nucleotide long non-coding RNA is filed under the name Sarcophilus harrisii (Tasmanian devil). RNAcentral's name for it is "lncRNA (ENSSHAG00000031396.1)". Lineage: Eukaryota; Metazoa; Chordata; Mammalia; Dasyuromorphia; Dasyuridae. The record is from RNAcentral.
AUGCUCACAAACUCCCCGCGUGACGCAGUCCCCGGGCGGACCCUGGACAAGGAACAGAGAGAGCGGCGUCCUUCCUUCCCCACCCCACCCCCAGACUCGCGGCGGGCACAGAGUCCGAGGCCGAGGGACCGGGGCUUGGAGUCCGCCAAGAGUGAAACUUCCCUGGCGUCUGGGUUGGAGCAAUGUUGCGCUCCGCUCCGUCCCGCCCAGCGCCGGGCAUGCGCUGGCACAGCCGGCGGGCAGCUCCUGAGGGCUCCCACCCAACUCGCCCAUUUGCUCACAAGCUCACCUGCUCCGGCUGCUCCUGGCCGCCUCUUCCAAGACCACGCUGCUGUGGCUGUCGCGGCCGCCCGCGCUGCCAAGCCUGCUGCUGCUGCUGCUGCUGCUCUGGAAGGCAGGCAAGCAGGCUCUGGCUGCCGCCCUCCUGCUCCGUCGUCUUCCCGGGCGUUGGCCCCGGCCCCGGCUCCGGCUCCGGCCCCUCCAGCCCAGAGUCGGCUCCGUCCCCGUCCUCGUUCAGCUCCCCGUCCCCGCCCGCGCCGCGUAGCAGCUCCUCUGCGGAGCACAUCCCGCCCCCUCCCUGGAGCCAAGUCUGGCAGUCCAGUUGGGAAGGGAUCCGGGACGCACGCAUGGCCUCGCCCGCUUCCUAAGCUUCCUUCCCGGACCCCCGCGACUGUUGACAAGUCGUUGAGCCGGAGGGCGCCGGCGGCUCGGCUCGGGGCGGGGGGUGGAGGAGAGCCUUACGGAAUAGACGCUCCGCCCAGCCCCGCCCUGGCUGGCCGGCCCCCAGGGACAGAAGUGAGAGGCUCUGUCCCGCGCUCCUUCAGGCACUCACAAGCCCCGCCUCUGAAAUCGGAAGCACUGCCCCUGGGGCGGAGUCCCAAGGAAUUGAGGAAAGGAGGAGUCAUGGAGGCGGGAUUUAGGGUUACCCUAGCUCAGAUAAAAGCCAUUCCUGAGGCUGGCAGUGAGGCUCUUUCCACUUACCUUUCUAUUCCCUCUCACUUUCUUCUCUUUACCUCUUCAUGUCUUUCUUCCUUAUACCCCUUUCUAAUCUGUUCCUUCCAUUCUUUAUUCUGCUUUUCUCCUCCUUUCCCUCCACUGCUCCUCUUUUUUCUAUCCCCUUUCUCUUUCUGUUUCUCUCCUGUUUUUUGCAUCCCUGCUCUCUUUUUCUCUACCUCCCCGUUACUUCCCCUCUUAUUUUUAUUUUCACUUUUUAAAACUCAACAAAAUUUUUUCUCAUCUCUUUCACUCCUUCACUUUUCUUGUCUCCAAUUUAACCUUUUUUUACUCUCUUCCCCCUUUCUCUUCUUUCUGCUUUUGACUUUUUCCCUCACCCUUUUUUUCUCAUUUCCCUUCUUUUCCUCUCUCCCCUUUUUUCUCUUUCUUUUUCUUUCUUUCCCCAUUUCCUUUUCUUUCUGUAUCUUUCUAUCUGUUUCUCCUCUCCCCUCAUCCCUUCCCCCCAUAUCUACCCUUUUCCCUUUCCCAGAUUUUCUUCAUUUCUUUUCCUUUCUCCUUUUCCCUCUCUGGUCUCUCUAUCUCUGUUUCUGUCUUUCUAUCUCUUUUUCUAUACCUUUUUUUCUUUUUCCUUUUCUCCAGUUUUUCUCCAUUUGUCUUUCUUCCCUUUUCCGCUAUUCUCUUGGUUUUUUUUCUCUCUCUAUUACCCUCUUUUCCCCCAUUUUUCCCUAUUUCUCUUUCUGUCUCCUCCAGAAUUUCCCUUUUUGUAUUGGUUGCCCUUGUCCUCUUCCCUCCUCCCCCCAUCCAACACACAUUUCCCCUUUCUUUUUACUAACAUUUAACUUCACUGGAAUGCAGUUAGAAAAUUAG